RNAcentral lists this long non-coding RNA (696 nucleotides) under Equus caballus (horse). Its description in RNAcentral is "lncRNA (ENSECAG00000036717.3)". The record is from RNAcentral. Lineage: Eukaryota; Metazoa; Chordata; Mammalia; Perissodactyla; Equidae.
UAAAUUUUAACAGUAAAGUUAAGCAGGAAUUGAUAACAAUCUGAAAGACAUCAUGCAGUUUCGGCUUGCCACGUAAUCCAGAAUUAUAACGACUGCCUAAAAAUUUCUUAAAUAUUUCCUGAUGGGCAAUCUCAUUUGUAUAACCUGUACGUGUGAAACAUCAUGAUGGCAUUCAUACUGGAUUGAAUAUGAAAAUAAGCACAAAAAAUGUUAUUGGACUCCCACAGAUUACCAGAAUGCAAAAUGUCAUCAAAGGAAAGGACAGUGACUUUCAUAUGAAACUAAUGUCAUCAGAGUAGAAUUUUACUUCUGCAGAAUUCUCUGGACAAGGUAGAGUUUGCCAGGAAACUGAAGAUUUUUCCCAGAGCUCUGGAUAAAACAGUAUUGUGGUGUUUACUCUGGGGUCAAUGGUCAGAAAUAUGACAGAAGAAAGGGCCAAUGUGAUUGUACCAACCCUUGCCCAGAGUCCGCAAAAGGAAGAAGAAGAUAUGAUGCAAAGAUCUCUUCCUUUCAUGACAAAACCAUCUUUCACAAUUUAGCUUCUCAGAUCAAAACUUGUUUUCAAAGAAUUUACUCCCUGUUUGAAAGUUAGAAAUAUGUCAUCCACAGAGAAAAAAGAAAAACUUGGGAUAAAAUAAAAUAAGAAUAAGACUAUAUGAGUAUAUAUUGAAAUUUGUUAAUCUGAUUCAAAAGUUA